Molecule: ribosomal RNA, 263 nt
Filed under: uncultured bacterium
Lineage: Bacteria
Description: partial 16S ribosomal RNA
Rfam family: Bacterial small subunit ribosomal RNA
Source: RNAcentral
GUCCUAGCCGUAACGAUGAGCACUAGGUGUUAGAGGUUUACCUUUAGCGCCGCAAGUUAACACGUUAAGUGCUCCACCUGGGGACUACGACCGCAAGGUUAAACUCAAAGGAAUUGACGGGGCCCGCACAAGCGGUGGAACAUGUGGUUCAAUUCGACGCUACGCGAAGAACCUCACCAGGGCUUGACAUGUAGGAAGUAGGAACCUGAAAGGGGGACAACCUGUCAAGUCAGGAGCCUGCACAGGUGUUGCAUGGCUGUCGU